RNAcentral lists this ribosomal RNA (491 nucleotides) under uncultured Marmoricola sp. Its description in RNAcentral is "bacterial SSU rRNA". It matches the Rfam family "Bacterial small subunit ribosomal RNA", at positions 40 to 525 of the family's 1533-position model. Lineage: Bacteria; Bacillati; Actinomycetota; Actinomycetes; Propionibacteriales; Nocardioidaceae. The record is from RNAcentral.
CGGGGGGCUUAACCAGGACAAAUCGAGCGGUAGGCCCCUUCGGGGGUUAACGAGCGGCGAACGGGUGAUAAAAAAAAGAGAAAAAGCCCAUCACAUCGGGAUAACUCCGGGAAACUUAAAAAUAAGAAAGGAAUACGACCACCUCAGGCAUCUGACGGUGGUGGAAAGUUCCGGCGGUGAUGGAUGAGCUCGCGGCCUUUCUCCUUGUUGGUGGGGUGAUGGCCUACCAAGGCGACGACGGGUAGCCGGCCUGAGAGGGUGACCGGCCACACUGGGACUGAGACACGGCCCAGACUCCUACGGGAGGCAGCAGUGGGGAAUAUUGGACAAUGGGCGCAAGCCUGAUCCAGCCAUGCCGCGUGUGUGAAGAAGGCCUUCGGGUUGUAAAGCACUUUUGUUCGGGAAGAAAUCUUCCGACCUAAUACGUCGGGAGGAUGACGGUACCGAAAGAAUAAUCAUCGGCUAUCUUCGUGCCAGCAGCCGCGGUAAUA